GGAGGAAAGCAGGGGAUCGCAAGACCUUGCGCUUUUGGAGCGGCCGAUGCCUGAUUAGCUUGUUGGUGAGGUAAAAGCUCACCAAGGCUUCGAUCAGUAGCUGGUCUGAGAGGACGACCAGCCACACUGGGACUGAGACACGGCCCAGACUCCUACGGGAGGCAGCAGUGGGGAAUUUUGGACAAUGGGGGCAACCCUGAUCCAGCCAUGCCGCGUGAGUGAAGAAGGCCUUCGGGUUGUAAAGCUCUUUCAGCCGGAACGAAACGGUUACGGUUAAUACCCGUGACUACUGACGGUACCGGAAGAAGAAGCACCGGCUAACUACGUGCCAGCAGCCGCGGUAAUACGUAGGGUGCGAGCGUUAAUCGGAAUUACUGGGCGUAAAGCGUGCGCAGGUGGUUUUGUAAGUCAGAUGUGAAAUCCCCGGGCUUAACCUGGGAACUGCGUUUGAAACUACAAGGCUAG
This 465-nucleotide ribosomal RNA is filed under the name uncultured bacterium. RNAcentral's name for it is "bacterial SSU rRNA". It matches the Rfam family "Bacterial small subunit ribosomal RNA", at positions 198 to 644 of the family's 1533-position model. The record is from RNAcentral.